UGACUGCGUACCUUUUGUAUAAUGGGUCAGCGACUUAUAUUCUGUAGCAAGGUUAACCGAAUAGGGGAGCCGAAGGGAAACCGAGUCUUAACUGGGCGUUAAGUUGCAGGGUAUAGACCCGAAACCCGGUGAUCUAGCCAUGGGCAGGUUGAAGGUUGGGUAACACUAACUGGAGGACCGAACCGACUAAUGUUGAAAAAUUAGCGGAUGACUUGUGGCUGGGGGGGAAAGGCCAAUCAAACCGGGAGAUAGCUGGUUCUCCCCGAAAGCUAUUUAGGUAGCGCCUCGUGAAUUCAUCUCCGGGGGUAGAGCACUGUUUCGGCAAGGGGGUCAUCCCGACUUACCAACCCGAUGCAAACUGCGAAUACCGGAGAAUGUUAUCACGGGAGACACACGGCGGGUGCUAACGUCCGUCGUGAAGAGGGAAACAACCCAGACCGCCAGCUAAGGUCCCAAAGUCAUGGUUAAGUGGGAAACGAUGUGGGAAGGCCCAGACAGCCAGGAUGUUGGCUUAGAAGCAGCCAUCAUUUAAAGAAAGCGUAAUAGCUCACUGGUCGAGUCGGCCUGCGCGGAAGAUGUAACGGGGCUAAACCAUGCACCGAAGCUGCGGCAGCGACACUAUGUGUUGUUGGGUAGGGGAGCGUUCUGUAAGCCUGUGAAGGUGUACUGUGAGGUAUGCUGGAGGUAUCAGAAGUGCGAAUGCUGACAUAAGUAACGAUAAAGCGGGUGAAAAGCCCGCUCGCCGGAAGACCAAGGGUUCCUGUCCAACGUUAAUCGGGGCAGGGUGAGUCGACCCCUAAGGCGAGGCCGAAAGGCGUAGUCGAUGGGAAACAGGUUAAUAUUCCUGUACUUGGUGUUACUGCGAAGGGGGGACGGAGAAGGCUAUGUUGGCCGGGCGACGGUUGUCCCGGUUUAAGCGUGUAGGCUGGUUUUCCAGGCAAAUCCGGAAAAUCAAGGCUGAGGCGUGAUGACGAGGCACUACGGUGCUGAAGCAACAAAUGCCCUGCUUCCAGGAAAAGCCUCUAAGCAUCAGGUAACAUCAAAUCGUACCCCAAACCGACACAGGUGGUCAGGUAGAGAAUACCAAGGCGCUUGAGAGAACUCGGGUGAAGGAACUAGGCAAAAUGGUGCCGUAACUUCGGGAGAAGGCACGCUGAUAUGUAGGUGAAGUCCCUCGCGGAUGGAGCUGAAAUCAGUCGAAGAUACCAGCUGGCUGCAACUGUUUAUUAAAAACACAGCACUGUGCAAACACGAAAGUGGACGUAUACGGUGUGACGCCUGCCCGGUGCCGGAAGGUUAAUUGAUGGGGUUAGCGCAAGCGAAGCUCUUGAUCGAAGCCCCGGUAAACGGCGGCCGUAACUAUAACGGUCCUAAGGUAGCGAAAUUCCUUGUCGGGUAAGUUCCGACCUGCACGAAUGGCGUAAUGAUGGCCAGGCUGUCUCCACCCGAGACUCAGUGAAAUUGAACUCGCUGUGAAGAUGCAGUGUACCCGCGGCAAGACGGAAAGACCCCGUGAACCUUUACUAUAGCUUGACACUGAACAUUGAGCCUUGAUGUGUAGGAUAGGUGGGAGGCUUUGAAGUGUGGACGCCAGUCUGCAUGGAGCCGACCUUGAAAUACCACCCUUUAAUGUUUGAUGUUCUAACGUUGGCCCGUUAUCCGGGUUGCGGACAGUGUCUGGUGGGUAGUUUGACUGGGGCGGUCUCCUCCUAAAGAGUAACGGAGGAGCACGAAGGUUGGCUAAUCCUGGUCGGACAUCAGGAGGUUAGUGCAAUGGCAUAAGCCAGCUUGACUGCGAGCGUGACGGCGCGAGCAGGUGCGAAAGCAGGUCAUAGUGAUCCGGUGGUUCUGAAUGGAAGGGCCAUCGCUCAACGGAUAAAAGGUACUCCGGGGAUAACAGGCUGAUACCGCCCAAGAGUUCAUAUCGACGGCGGUGUUUGGCACCUCGAUGUCGGCUCAUCACAUCCUGGGGCUGAAGUAGGUCCCAAGGGUAUGGCUGUUCGCCAUUUAAAGUGGUACGCGAGCUGGGUUUAGAACGUCGUGAGACAGUUCGGUCCCUAUCUGCCGUGGGCGCUGGAGAACUGAGGGGGGCUGCUCCUAGUACGAGAGGACCGGAGUGGACGCAUCACUGGUGUUCGGGUUGUCAUGCCAAUGGCACUGCCCGGUAGCUAAAUGCGGAAGAGAUAAGUGCUGAAAGCAUCUAAGCACGAAACUUGCCCCGAGAUGAGUUCU
This 2232-nucleotide ribosomal RNA is filed under the name Escherichia coli 1-110-08_S4_C1. Its description in RNAcentral is "bacterial LSU rRNA". It matches the Rfam family "Bacterial large subunit ribosomal RNA", at positions 594 to 2812 of the family's 2925-position model. Lineage: Bacteria; Pseudomonadati; Pseudomonadota; Gammaproteobacteria; Enterobacterales; Enterobacteriaceae. The record is from RNAcentral.